UCGGGUAUAGUGUACGGGGCACCCCUCCUUCCUGCGAUUUUUUCCCGUCACAUGAUGGAUGAAGAAAGCCGGGGUUCGACUCCCCGUGCCCGAA
This is a non-coding RNA of Mycena rebaudengoi, 94 nucleotides long. Lineage: Eukaryota; Fungi; Basidiomycota; Agaricomycetes; Agaricales; Mycenaceae. The record is from the annotation of a GenBank genome assembly.